RNAcentral lists this ribosomal RNA (595 nucleotides) under uncultured Bacteroidota bacterium. RNAcentral describes it as "bacterial SSU rRNA". It matches the Rfam family "Bacterial small subunit ribosomal RNA", at positions 122 to 715 of the family's 1533-position model. The record is from RNAcentral. Lineage: Bacteria; Pseudomonadati; Bacteroidota.
CAACCUACCUAUCAGAGGGGAAUAACCCGGCGAAAGUCGGACUAAUACCGCAUAAAACAGGGGCACCGCAUGGUGAUAUUUGUUAAAGAAAUUCGCUGAUAGAUGGGCAUGCGUUCCAUUAGGUAGUUGGUGAGGUAACGGCUCACCAAGCCGACGAUGGAUAGGGGAACUGAGAGGUUGGUCCCCCACACUGGUACUGAGACACGGACCAGACUCCUACGGGAGGCAGCAGUGAGGAAUAUUGGUCAAUGGGCGAGAGCCUGAACCAGCCAAGUCGCGUGAAGGAAGAAGGAUCUAUGGUUCGUGAACUUCUUUUGCAGGGGAAUAAAGUGCGGGACGUGUCCUGUUUUGUAUGUACCCUGAGAAUAAGGAUCGGCUAACUCCGUGCCAGCAGCCGCGGUAAUACGGAGGAUCCGAGCGUUAUCCGGAUUUAUUGGGUUUAAAGGGUGCGUAGGUGGUUUGAUAAGUCAGCGGCGAAAGUUUGCAGCUUAACUGUAAAAAUGCCGUUGAAACUGUCGGACUUGAGUGUAAAUGAGGUGGGCGGAAUGCGUGGUGUAGCGGUGAAAUGCAUAGAUAUCACGAAGAACUCCGAUUG